This 454-nucleotide ribosomal RNA is filed under the name uncultured bacterium. RNAcentral's name for it is "bacterial SSU rRNA". It matches the Rfam family "Bacterial small subunit ribosomal RNA", at positions 8 to 507 of the family's 1533-position model. The record is from RNAcentral.
AGAGUUUGAUCAUGGCUCAGAACGAACGCUGGCGGCAUGCCUAACACAUGCAAGUCGAACGAGACCUUCGGGUCUAGUGCGCACGGGUGCGUAACGCGUGGGAAUCUGCCCUUGGGUUCGGAAUAACAGUUAGAAAUGACUGCUAAUACCGGAUAAUGUCUUCGGACCAAAGAUUUAUCGCCCAGGGAUGAGCCCGCGUAGGAUUAGCUAGUUGGUGAGGUAAAAGGGCUCACCAAGGCGACGAUCCUUAGCUGGUCUGAGAGGAUGAUCAGCCACACUGGGACUGAGACACGGCCCAGACUCCUACGGGAGGCAGCAGUGGGGAAUAUUGGACAAUGGGCGAAAGCCUGAUCCAGCAAUGCCGCGUGAGUGAUGAAGGCCUUAGGGUUGUAAAGCUCUUUUACCCGGGAUGAUAAUGACAGUACCGGGAGAAUAAGCCCCGGCUAACUCCGUG